CUAGAUCAGUUAUGCUUUUUCAUAACUGCCAUUUUUUAUAGGGUAGUGCUAAAAAAUCUAGUACUUUGGUUUAUUACAUUCACAUCAGAAUGACCUACACCCUUCUCAGUUUGGGUGCAUGAGAGUAACUGUAGGUGUCUGUUCAUAUUUUUUAUGUUUCUUUGCAGAAGAAUUGUUCUACUCUGCACAGCUCUGUCCUGCAUGAGGAGCCAUCAAUGAUUUUGUUGUGGUUAUUUCAUAUGAAAAUGGGAGAAAACAACAGCUUCUUUCACACUCAAAUGUAAAGUAGAGGUGAAAGGAAAGGUUUAGUUUCAGUAACCUUUGCUGCUUCAGCUAUUUGCACUAAUGGGGGUAAGGUGCUUGGCUGCAACUGUUUUUGCUUUUGAAGACAGUGCCUCAUCCUGUCUCCCUUUGGGGCUGGGGACUGGGUAGAGGGCUUGCUCUGACUGCAGGGCAUCUGUCUGCUUUCACCUGUAAUCAAAAGACUGAUGUACCACACCCAGGCUCUGAUGAGAGCUGUCUUCCUUCAGUGCAGCAGACCCCAGGGAGGUGUGGAUGGAGUUCUGAGUGUCAGGUAUCUCAUCAACUUGGAGGUAAUGGAAUACCUACAGGAUACAGACAUAAAAUAAGUAUGAUAGCAUUUUAUUUGAUAUUAAUGAUUUUACUGGAUCAUAUAAUUACUGGAAUGGUUAUGUACUCCUUGGCAUUAAUGGAAGAGUGUGUUCUAUGAAACAGCAACACAGCUCUAAAAACCCCCUACACUCAAUCAUAUUGCUUUGCAAAGCAAAUGAGUGUACCUGUGCCUUCCAAUUAAAUUGUAUUGUGGGUGGAAUAAUUAAUUUGGACACAAGGCAAGGAGCACAUUGCAUAUAUUGUUGUUAUUGUUGUUGUUGUUGUUAACAACUGUUGACUGGGGAGUGCCCAGGUUAAUAUUAUAUCUGUUUUUCCUGCUUUACACCCUUGUGCAUGGCAUGGAUGCAACAGUUUUCUCCUACAGAUCCUCCCCCUCACCAAACAGUCAAUUCUGG
Molecule: long non-coding RNA, 1028 nt
Filed under: Cyanistes caeruleus (blue tit)
Lineage: Eukaryota; Metazoa; Chordata; Aves; Passeriformes; Paridae
Description: lncRNA (ENSCCEG00000013077.1)
Source: RNAcentral